This 497-nucleotide ribosomal RNA is filed under the name uncultured bacterium. RNAcentral describes it as "partial 16S ribosomal RNA". It matches the Rfam family "Bacterial small subunit ribosomal RNA", at positions 28 to 507 of the family's 1533-position model. The record is from RNAcentral.
GAUGAACGCUGACGGCGUGCCUAAUACAUGCAAGUCGAGCGAACGGACGAGAAGCUUGCUUCUCUGAUGUUAGCGGCGGACGGGUGAGUAACACGUGGAUAACCUACCUAUAAGACUGGGAUAACUUCGGGAAACCGGAGCUAAUACCGGAUAAUAUUUUGAACCGCAUGGUUCAAAAGUGAAAGACGGUCUUGCUGUCACUUAUAGAUGGAUCCGCGCUGCAUUAGCUAGUUGGUAAGGUAACGGCUUACCAAGGCAACGAUGCAUAGCCGACCUGAGAGGGCGAUCGGCCACACUGGAACUGAGACACGGUCCAGACUCCUACGGGAGGCAGCAGUAGGGAAUCUUCCGCAAUGGGCGAAAGCCUGACGGAGCAACGCCGCGUGAGUGAUGAAGGUCUUCGGAUCGUAAAACUCUGUUAUUAGGGAAGAACAUAUGUGUAAGUAACUGUGCACAUCUUGACGGUACCUAAUCAGAAAGCCACGGCUAACUACGUG